This 2055-nucleotide ribosomal RNA is filed under the name activated sludge metagenome. RNAcentral's name for it is "bacterial LSU rRNA". It matches the Rfam family "Bacterial large subunit ribosomal RNA", at positions 1 to 1999 of the family's 2925-position model. The record is from RNAcentral.
AGAAGCUAAUAAGGGCGCUUGGAGGAUGCCUCGGCGACAAGAGCCGAAGAAGGGCGCGGUACACUGCGAAAAGCCUCGGGGAGCCGUGUGCAGGCGACGAUCCGGGGAUACCCGAAUGGGGAAACCUCCCUGGGGGGACCCAGGGACCCGACACUGAACCCAUAAGUGUCGAGGAGGGCACGCGGGGAACUGAAACAUCUUAGUACCCGCAGGAAAAGAGAGGAUUCCCCGAGUAGUGGCGAGCGAAAGGGGAGGAGCCCAAACUCACGCUGUGCAGAAGCCUGCAAGCGUUGCAGCGUGGGGGUAGGAGGAGCUGAUGGGGGAGGUUGCAGCCUUCCGAAGGAGUGAACAAAGCCAAAGCUAGUCGAAAGACACUGGAAAGGUCUGCCAGAGACGGUGACAGCCCGGUAGGCGAAAGCGUUGGCUCUCCUGUCAGGAUCCUGAGUACCACAGGGCACGAGGAACCCGGUGGGAAGCAGGGCCGACCACGGUCCAAGGCUAAAUACUCUUGACGACCGAUAGUGAACCAGUACCGUGAGGGAAAGGUGAAAAGAACCCCGGUGAGGGGAGUGAAAGAGAAUCUGAAACCAAGCGUCUACAAGCGGUCAAAGCACCAUACCUUUUUCGGAAGGGAAGUGCGAUGGCGUGCCUUUUGGAGAAUGAACCAGCGAGUUACUCUUGGUUGCGAGGUUAAGGCAGGGACAGCCGGAGCCGCAGGGAAACCGAGUCUGAAGAGGGCGUCGAGUAGCCAGGAGUAGACACGAAACCAGGUGAGCUACCCAUGUCCAGGCUGAAGCGGGGCUAAUCCCCCGUGGAGGGCCGAACCUUUCUCUAUUGCAAAAGGGUGGGAUGAGAUGUGGGUAGGGGUGAUAUGCCUAACGAACUUGGAGAUAGCUUGUUCUCCCCGAAAUAGCUUUAGGGCUAGCCUCGCGGGAUGGAUGGCGGAGGUAGAGCACUGGAUGGGCUAGGGGGCGCAAGCCUACCGAACCCAACCAAACUCCGAAUGCCGCCAUAGAGGAACGCGGGAGUCGGACUACGAAUGAUGAGAUCCGUAGUCGAGAGGGAAAGAGCCCAGACCGUCGGCUAAGGUCCCGAAGUCUCAGCUAAGUGGGAAACGCUGUGGGAUCGCCCAGACAGCCAGGAGGUUGGCUUAGAAGCAGCCAUCCUUUAAAGAGUGCGUAAUAGCUCACUGGUCGAGGGGUCCUGCGCGGAAAAUGUAACGGGGCUAAAGCUGAGCACCGAAGCCACGGGGGCGUGUGUAAGCACGUCUGGUAGGGGAGCGUUGUGUAGGCGGAGAAGCUGUACCGGAAGGAGCAGUGGAGGCUACACAAGUGAGAAUGCUGGUAUGAGUAGCGAAAAAUGUGUGAGAACCACAUUCACCGCAAGCCCAAGGGUUCCGACGCAAGGCCAAUCCGCGUCGGGUUAGUCGGGCCUAAGCCGAGGCCGGAAGGCGUAGGCGAUGGACAUCCGGUUAAUAUUCCGGAACCACGGGUGGGGAGUGAAGGGGUGACGCAACGCGGGAAGCCAACCUGGCGGAUGGAAGGGCCAGGCCAAGCGUGUAGGCCGGAGAAGGGGGUAGGGAAAGCCGCUCCUGGAGGUCGAGACGUGAAGGGGAGCCGCAAGGCGGAAGUGGCAGGACCGGGUUGUCAAGAAAAGCCUCUAAGCGAAGAACCAUCGGUGCCCGUACCGCAAACCGACACAGGUGGGUGGGUAGAGAAUACCAAGGUGAACGGGAAAACCUUCGUCAAGGAAUUAGACAAGUUGACCCCGUAACUUCGGGAGAAGGGGUGCCCCUGGAGGUGAAGAAUGUACAUUUGGAGCGUCUGGGGGUCGCAGUGAAAGGGCUCUAGCGACUGGUUACCAAAACCACAGGUCUCUGCGAACGCGGAAGCGGACGUAUAGGGGCUGACACCUGCCCAGUGCCGGAAGGUUAAGGGGAGAGGUAAGCCGCAAGGCGAAGCUUUGAACCGAAGCCCCGGUGAACGGCGGCCGUAACUAUAACGGUCCUAAGGUAGCGAAAUUCCUUGUCGGGUAAGUUCCGACCCGCACGAAUGG